RNAcentral lists this ribosomal RNA (387 nucleotides) under Ovophis makazayazaya. RNAcentral describes it as "partial 12S ribosomal RNA". Lineage: Eukaryota; Metazoa; Chordata; Lepidosauria; Squamata; Viperidae. The record is from RNAcentral.
AAAUUGUUCGCCAAACAACUACGAGUCCCACUUAAAACUUAAAAGACUUGACGGUACUUCAUCACGGCCUAGAGGAGCCUGUCUAAUAACCGACAAUCCACGAUUAACCCCACCCCUUCUCGCCCUACAGUCUAUAUACCGCCGUCGCCAGCUUACCUUGUAAAAGAGAAAAAGUGAGCUAAACAGUACUACGCUAGAACGACAGGUCGAGGUGUAACCUAUGAAAGGGACUACGAUGGGCUACAUUCUUCAACCGAGAACACGAAUAGCAUUAUGAAAUUAGUGCUUGAAGGCGGAUUUAGCAGUAAGAUAAGAAUAAAACACUUAACUGAACAUAACGCAAUGAAGUGCGUACACACCGCCCGUCACCCCUGUCACCACAACACC